Molecule: ribosomal RNA, 492 nt
Filed under: uncultured bacterium
Lineage: Bacteria
Description: partial 16S ribosomal RNA
Rfam family: Bacterial small subunit ribosomal RNA
Source: RNAcentral
AGUGAACGCUGGCGGUAGGCCUAACACAUGCAAGUCGAACGGCAGCACAGUAAGAGCUUGCUCUUACGGGUGGCGAGUGGCGGACGAGUGAGGAAUACAUCGGAAUCUACUUUUUCGUGGGGGAUAACGUAGGGAAACUUACGCUAAUACCGCAUACGACCUACGGGUGAAAGCAGGGGAUCUUCGGACCUUGCGCGAUUGAAUGAGCCGAUGUCGGAUUAGCUAGUUGGCGGGGUAAAGGCCCGCCAAGGCGACGAUCCGUAGCUGGUCUGAGAGGAUGAUCAGCCACACUGGAACUGAGACACGGUCCAGACUCCUACGGGAGGCAGCAGUGGGGAAUAUUGGACAAUGGGCGCAAGCCUGAUCCAGCCAUACCGCGUGGGUGAAGAAGGCCUUCGGGUUGUAAAGCCCUUUUGUUGGGAAAGAAAAGCAGCAGGUUAAUACCCCGCUGUUCUGACGGUACCCAAAGAAUAAGCACCGGCUAACUUCGUG